This 528-nucleotide ribosomal RNA is filed under the name uncultured bacterium. RNAcentral describes it as "bacterial SSU rRNA". It matches the Rfam family "Bacterial small subunit ribosomal RNA", at positions 463 to 985 of the family's 1533-position model. The record is from RNAcentral.
GCGAAAGUGACUGUACCUGCAGAAGAAGCACCGGCUAACUACGUGCCAGCAGCCGCGGUAAUACGUAGGGUGCAAGCGUUGUCCGGAUUUAUUGGGCGUAAAAGAGCUCGUAGGCGGUUUGUCGCGUCGGAUGUGAAAACCCAAUGGCUUAACCUUGGGCCUGCAUUCGAUACGGGCAAACUAGAGUGUGGUAGGGGAGACUGGAACUCCUGGUGUAGCGGUGGAAUGCGCAGAUAUCAGGAAGAACACCGAUGGCGAAGGCAGGUCUCUGGGCCAUAACUGACGCUGAGGAGCGAAAGCGUGGGGAGCGAACAGGAUUAGAUACCCUGGUAGUCCACGCCGUAAACGGUGGGCGCUAGGUGUGGGGAUUGUUUCCACGAUCUCCGUGCCGUAGCUAACGCAUUAAGCGCCCCGCCUGGGGAGUACGGCCGCAAGGCUAAAACUCAAAGGAAUUGACGGGGGCCCGCACAAGCGGCGGAGCAUGCGGCUUAAUUCGAUGCAACGCGAAGAACCUUACCUGGGCUUGAC